Molecule: long non-coding RNA, 1125 nt
Organism: Bacillus rossius redtenbacheri
Lineage: Eukaryota; Metazoa; Arthropoda; Insecta; Phasmatodea; Bacillidae
Exons: 2
Source: RefSeq, a predicted model, not a curated record
AUGAAGCGUGAGUGUGAUUGGUCGGUGAGGGCAUGUGACUUCUCCUCCCUGCGUGGAGGAGACGGUGUCAUAAGUUCACCAGUCGUCCGUCGAUCGCUGCACCAGGAGGGCGCGUUAGGUGGCUGCUCGCCAUAUAUGUAGUAAUUGCAGGAGAGAAAAUUUAAACGUUGGUGGUCAGAGCCAUGCCGAGUUUUAAGUUAACUUAAUUUUUUUUAUUUCAUUCGGACAUCUAAUUAGAAAUUGUGGCUACCGACAUCGGCGUUUUGGCUCGUGGCGAAAUUCUAUUUCGCUGGGUGCGGCCCUGUUUGAGGUCGCGCUGUUUUCAUGUACUUACAGUAAGAGUUUACUGAAGGAUUUCAGCUACGUUUGUUUUCGUUAAUUUUCAUCACCCGAGCUGCGAGCAUUUUUCGACAGUCGGAUAUAUGUGUUGAAUGAAUAUUUUAAUUGGAAAUUUGGCCACAGUCGUCGGUAACAACCCACAACGAUGAUAGAGUAACUUUGUUAUUGUUCAGAGGACACAGUCCUUUGGCUUGUAUUGUGAGUUGCCAGAAACCACAGGCUUUACUUACUAACAGUAUAUAAUUUUAAACUGUUGGUACCCACGAACAGUAUGUUUUUUUUUAUGAGUUAACACAGAUGUUUUGAGCGACUUAAUUUGAAUUUAUGACGUGUAUUUUUUUUUGUGUUCAGACGAUGGAGGCAACUGUACUUUUGAAUUAUUGUAAAGGAUACAUAAAAAAAAGUAAAAAUCAGUUUGUGUUGGAGAGGCAUUAUUUCAGUAGUCAAUCAUUAAGAGUAACAUUUAUUUUGGGAUCUUAAAAAUUUGAUUGAAUGAUGAAAAAUAAUUUUAAGUGUUUAUGUAUAUGCUAAGUAAUCAAAUGUGCCUAGGCCUACGAGUGAAUUGCAGUACACUCAUUAUAGACCUACUAAGUGUUAAUAUUGGUAACAUUUUGGACAAUACAUUUAGGCUUAAAUAAUGUAGACACAUUCAUACGGAAAGUUGUAGUCUAUAGACUAAAAUUUUUAUUAAAAUCAAGAACCCUUUUUCCAAUCAUUGGUAGAAACCUACAAUAGAACAAAACACUUUGACAUAGUGUAACACGAAAAAAAAAAAACUAAAAUAAA